UUUCACAUGGCAUCAUAGCCCUAAAAUCAUAAGGAAAAUAAGUCUAGUCCAUCACCUCCUCCUCCCACUACCGAAACUCCCUUUUCUUCCUCCUCUACUCUUCUUGCUUCUUCUUCAGCUUGUCUUCCCUCUCUAUUCUUUCAUUGCCCAAUGCUUCUCCGUCAGUUUUUAAUUUUAAUAACAUUAAAAAACAAAUUCCUACUAUUCUUG
RNAcentral lists this unclassified non-coding RNA (210 nucleotides) under Hevea brasiliensis (rubber tree). Lineage: Eukaryota; Viridiplantae; Streptophyta; Magnoliopsida; Malpighiales; Euphorbiaceae. The record is from RNAcentral.